This 45-nucleotide ribosomal RNA is filed under the name Alternaria alternata. RNAcentral describes it as "partial 28S ribosomal RNA". The record is from RNAcentral. RNAcentral also lists the same sequence under 3 other names. Lineage: Eukaryota; Fungi; Ascomycota; Dothideomycetes; Pleosporales; Pleosporaceae.
AGGUAGGGAUACCCGCUGAACUUAAGCAUAUCAAUAAGCGGAGGA